This 1107-nucleotide long non-coding RNA is filed under the name Bemisia tabaci. RNAcentral's name for it is "lncRNA ENSSSA3NGG004083". Lineage: Eukaryota; Metazoa; Arthropoda; Insecta; Hemiptera; Aleyrodidae. The record is from RNAcentral.
GAUACUACAAAUAUUAUCUUUUGCACAGUUACACUCGGGCGCAAAAAGUUCCACGAGGAGCAGUGGCGUGGCGUGACGUGCUUUGCGAUAAAUCGAUUGAUCUGUCAUUUAAAUUUAUGGAAAAGGAUCGAUGAACAUGGUGUUCGCUGCGAACACCUUCACAAUCGAUUCUUUACUAUAGCUUCAAAUCGAGAAAUAUCGAUAAUCGAUCACAUUCACGCUUCGCCAAUGACGUGGAGACACAGUAUGUGCUGCAAACGUAGUAUUUCAAUCAAGAUGUCGUAAAACUAAGGAAAAGUACUGAGAUUAAGUAUACAUCAAUUGCAAGACGGCCGAUAUAAAUAGACCGCUGCGAAUUUUUAGACUACACAACUAGUUCUGGAGUAGAGAAUUUAGUUUUUCACCAGUGAAUUUAGUUCUGCCUUCAAAAUCAGAAAACCAUUCACAAUGAAUUUCCGUGCUUCUCAACUAUUGUGCAUUUUUAUGGUAAUAUGCGGUGUUUGCAGCACCCUUGCUGCACUAAUUGACCUCGAUUCAGAGACGAUUUCUGCAAUCCUGGCGCGUCGGUCUGAGCCUGCAGAAUGUAGCAACUGUGGUUGCCCCGAUCGUAUGGCCGGUAAAUGCCCUCGCUGCUCAAUUGCAUGUUGCUAUUAUAGCUGCACAGGCCCGGACUUGCAAUAAGGCCGAUCUGCCAUUGGCGGAUACGUCCCCUUGGCGCGGCGAAAAUGCGCCCCCCUGACAGGUGGCAGAAUAAGAAGAUAACAACAAUUACUACCGAGAAAAUAUGAGGAUUUCUUCACAUAAUAUAGACAACUGACAAACACAAUUCCCUGGAUGUGCUUCGACGACGGCACAGAGAUACAACUGUUCGUGCUUGAUGGACGUCUGUGCUGCAUCUGAAAAAUUUAAGGCGCGAUGACGCGAGGCGUGAACUCGCAAUGCUACACUGAAAAAAAAGUAUACUAUUUAUACGGCGGUGCCGCCGUGGACCAAGUAACCGUUUACUCAAAAAGUAUCGACAAGUGACGAAAUUUUGUUCCAACGGAACAGAGUUCGAUUGAAUCAGGUAGACGCGUUAUCUCAAACUAGCACUCCACGUGUAUUUGG